UUGUGAGGAGAGUUCUUUGGGCCACCCGCAUAUGAAGCUGGGUCAAGAUAUGUUACGGCCGGAAAGAAAUAGGGAAAUUGAGUGUCUGGGCUUGUUAAAUCUCACAUAGUCACAUAUAAUAAAAUAAUUUUAUUAUUAUAUCAUCACUACAAAACUAAAUAUUAAUUAUAUUUAGCAAUAAACAUAAAACAAAAAUAUAUUUUUUAAAUUUAUAAAUGAAAUUAUCUUUGUGGAACGAAGGAAAUAAUACACAUAAUUUUAGAAUUUAGGUGAACUAAUUGUACAAAUACUUGGCGCGACAACUAAAGUGUCAGGCCCAAACUCGUGAACAAGCCAAACUCAAACAAGCAUUUAUUUCUACGAGUCUCUUUCAUAUGGAGAUAAGAUUCAUUCACUAUUUAUAUAAGAAGAAUUAUAUAAAAAUAUCAGCUCUUUUUAUUUAUCCUAGACUUGAGGUUGAGAUUGAGGUUGAGGUUGAGGUUGAGGUUGAGGUUGAGGUUGGGGUUGGGUGGUUGGGGUUGGAAAGAUAGGGAAAAAAAGGUGGUAGUGAUAGUUAGACCAGUAGUUGGAGCUUAUUCAACGAAACUUACAAAAUUCACUAACAAUGCUCACUAUAAUAACAAAAAAUUUAUGUAGAUAUGAAAAUUCAAUAUAAGUGUAUUUGAAUUUUAUUAAAUUGUAUUUUGAUCCUUAAUGGUGGGUAAAAAUAUAAAUAGGUGAAGUUCAAAUACAUUUAUAUCUAAUUUUCAUGUCCACCUAGAAGAGCUCCUAUAAUAUAUGAGCUAGAUGGAAAUGAAAAUGAUAUAUAUAAUGGAAAAAGAAUUUUGUUGUGUACUGUGAUAUAUUUAUGUCGAAUUAUAAUUGUGAAAUUUAUCCAUAUAUGAGAUUCGUAAGAAUUAUAAAAGAUUACACAUUACACAUAUCUCCAAAAAGAUUACUGUAUAAAUUUGACUUGAUUCGGACUUAAAAUUUGACCCAAGUAAGACAUUGUUCGGAUGAAUUUAAUUUAAUUUGAACUUAAAAUUUGAACCAAUAUUUAUUUUAGACUCUAAAAUCGACCAUCCGUAAUAUAUAUCAUUUUCUACGGAAAAUAAAUAAAUGAUAAAAUAGGAUUCUUUCAUAAUUUAACUUCCGGGCAUCGCGGUGCUGAGCUUUGACUGGACAGAUUAGGGGCCUAAGGAAUUUUCAGGAAUCUUUAUCAACAGUUCAGUCUUCCCCUUUUAACUAAAACGCGACACGACUGACGAGAGGGAUUUUUUUUUUUUUUGGAAAUUGAUAUUUUUACAUGAUAUUUUGAUAUUUUUAUAUAAGAAGUGUUGUUAUAGAUAUAUAGGGACGGUUAAAAACGUCGCUAUAGGAUUUAUAACGAC
RNAcentral lists this long non-coding RNA (1370 nucleotides) under Panax ginseng (ginseng). Its description in RNAcentral is "long non-coding RNA (PGIN_LNC002098)". The record is from RNAcentral. Lineage: Eukaryota; Viridiplantae; Streptophyta; Magnoliopsida; Apiales; Araliaceae.